This 465-nucleotide ribosomal RNA is filed under the name uncultured bacterium. Its description in RNAcentral is "partial 16S ribosomal RNA". It matches the Rfam family "Bacterial small subunit ribosomal RNA", at positions 28 to 507 of the family's 1533-position model. The record is from RNAcentral.
GACGAACGCUGGCGGCGUGCUUAACACAUGCAAGUCGAACGGAAAGGCCCUGCUUGCAGGGUACUCGAGUGGCGAACGGGUGAGUAACACGUGGGUGAUCUGCCCUGCACUUCGGGAUAAGCCUGGGAAACUGGGUCUAAUACCGGAUAGGAGCCAUUUUUAGUGUGAUGGUUGGAAAGUUUUUUCGGUGUAGGAUGAGCUCGCGGCCUAUCAGCUUGUUGGUGGGGUAAUGGCCUACCAAGGCGGCGACGGGUAGGCGGCCUGAGAGGGUGGACGGCCACAUUGGGGCUGGGAUACGGCCCAGACUCCUCCGGGAGGCAGCAGUGGGGAAUAUUGCACAAUGGGCGCAAGCCUGAUGCAGCGACGCCGCGUGGGGGAUGACGGCCUUCGGGUUGUAAACUCCUUUCGCUAGGGACGAAGCUUUUUGUGACGGUACCUAGAUAAGAAGCACCGGCUAACUACGUG